RNAcentral lists this ribosomal RNA (220 nucleotides) under Salmonella enterica subsp. enterica serovar Kentucky. Its description in RNAcentral is "partial 23S ribosomal RNA". It matches the Rfam family "Bacterial large subunit ribosomal RNA", at positions 2707 to 2925 of the family's 2925-position model. Lineage: Bacteria; Pseudomonadati; Pseudomonadota; Gammaproteobacteria; Enterobacterales; Enterobacteriaceae. The record is from RNAcentral.
CUCUGGUGUACCAGUUGUCGUGCCAACGGCAUAGCUGGGUAGCUAUGUGUGGCAGAGAUAAGUGCUGAAAGCAUCUAAGCAUGAAGUCCCCCUCAAGAUGAGAUUUCCCAACUUCGGUUAUAAGAUCCCUCAAAGAUGAUGAGGUUAAUAGGUUCGAGGUGGAAGCAUGGUGACAUGUGGAGCUGACGAAUACUAAUCGAUCGAAGACUUAAUCAAAAUU